CACUAGGCUGGGUUUAUAUAAAAUUACUCUACUUGAGAAAGAAAUUAGAUUCAUAUUAGGAUUGCAAUUCAGAAGAUUAUAACCUUUUUUAGUCUAGCUCAAGAGAAGAUAUUUAAGAAACUACAUUGUCUUAUGGGCUCAGGUUAUUAUUAAUACUGUCCUGUGAAUACAAAUAGUGGUAGCUACGAAAAGUAUAUUUUUACAUACACUAGUAAAAAUACAAUUAGUUUAUUUGAGAGCACUUGAAAUUCCCAUGAAAAUUCAUUCAAUUAACUGAGUUACAAUACUCCUCUAUAAGGCUCUGCUGCUUAAAAAUCAAUAAGAGAAAAUAUAAAUGGUCAUGGUGUUGCUUUUAUUGCUGGAAAGUAAUCAAUCUACUUAAUAAUCCUUAUUUUAUAGCAGGUCUCCCAAGAUAAAUAUAUUUCAAUAGAAUGUUUUAAGACAAAGUGUAGAUUAAAAAAUUCAAAUAGGAGAAAAUAAUGAUUGUUUUUCAAUAAACACUCAAAGCUUAUCACAAAAUUUAUUUAAUAUUAGCUACCCUCCCACCAUUCUUUGUUAAAUAGUAUGCACCUUCUGUGUUAUCAAAAGAGCAUUUUUAGUAAUUUUCUUACAUUACAGGAGAUAAUCCAGUCCAGAAGCAGGUGUUAAUAGAAAGAGCUCAGAGAAACUGUUGGUGCUAUCCAACAAGCAAACACGCAUCAAGACAAGCAAAGAAAUACAGGUGACUUCUACAAACAAUAUGAUUGCCAUUGUAUGAUUAUAUGAUAAAGAUAUUGAGUGUUGAAUGUGAAAAAGUGUAAUGAGUAAAAGAUGGCUCUCAUUCUAUAGGGGCUUGGGAAUGGAAGGCAUUGUGUGGUAUGAAGCAGAUAUUAUCUAAUGUAUUUAACCUAGAUUGAGUAGACUUCCCUAGGUGCACUCUAUAAUUCAGUCGAUUAAACUUGUGUGUGACUGUCCCACUGCAGACAGAACUUUAAAAUGAAGACAUUCUAAGAUCUCACUUUUAACUGAUAACCUGGAGGCAACGUUUACCAAGAUGGAUGGGCACAUAUCUAGGAACUGUCAAAAUCCAGGAAUGCUGGAAGAAGUAUGCAUUUGAGGACACUUAAGAAAUCAACUAUGAGUUUGAAACCAAGUUACAAAAGGAGAGAGCAACCACAUUUUUCAAAGAGAUUUUCUUUUGUCAUGGCCCAAUUCGAUCUUCACAGCGGACAACAUACAGCCGGAUCUGCUGCCUUCAAUUUGGAUUCAUUAUGCCGGAUAUGAAGUGGUGUCUUGGUUAUAUUCUCAUUGUCCA
RNAcentral lists this long non-coding RNA (1294 nucleotides) under Homo sapiens (human). RNAcentral describes it as "HSALNT0087636". Lineage: Eukaryota; Metazoa; Chordata; Mammalia; Primates; Hominidae. The record is from RNAcentral.